ACUGGAACCGUGAGUCGGGACACCCGGGAGGUUAAAGGCUCUCCCUUAAAUGAGUCAACCAGGCUAAGUGGGUCCGAAGAGACGGCGCCAGGGUGUUGACGGAGUUUGCUGCACCCUUCCAGAGCCUCCCGCUUGAUGCACCAAUCCACAACUUCAAACCGGGUGACCAAGUUUUGGUACAGAAGUGGAAGAAGGAUCCCCUUGCGGAAAGGUGGGAGGGACCCUACCAGGUGCUGCUGACUACACACACAGCUGUUCGCUUAUGAAACAGCGAUAAGUGGACCCAUUGCUUGAG
Alligator mississippiensis (American alligator) is the source of this 295-nucleotide long non-coding RNA. RefSeq lists it as uncharacterized. The record is from RefSeq and is a predicted model, not a curated record. NCBI's taxonomy places the organism in Eukaryota, Metazoa, Chordata, Crocodylia, Alligatoridae. The transcript is spliced from 2 exons.